This 677-nucleotide long non-coding RNA is filed under the name Hordeum vulgare. RNAcentral describes it as "long non-coding RNA (HVUL_LNC020836)". Lineage: Eukaryota; Viridiplantae; Streptophyta; Magnoliopsida; Poales; Poaceae. The record is from RNAcentral.
CACCGUGAGGGCGUCGUCGGCGGAGGCCGAAGCCGCCGGCCGCCGCGCGGUCCUUGGCCUCAUGGCCAGCGGAGUCGUCGGCAGCGCGUUCGCUCAGGUGGUGCACGCCGGCACCGUCGCGGCCAUCAAGGUUGGCCCGCCGCCUCCGCUCUCCGGUGGACUCCGUGAGUGCCUCCAGCUGCUCGUUCUAUACUCGCUUUAUAGUAGACAGAAGACUAUAUAAUGAUGAUUUUACGCCUGAUCUGAUGGAUGAUUUGGGUGUGUGUGUGUCAGCCGGCACGGACAACUCGGACGAGGCAAGGGACUUCGACCUGCCCCUGAAGAACCGGUUCUACCUGCAGCCGCUGCCACCGGCGCAGGCGGCGGUCCGGGCCAAGGAGUCGGCCCAGGACAUCCUCAACCUCAAGCCGCUCAUCGACAAGAAGCAAUGGCCGUACGUCAUGAACGACCUCCGCCUCAGGGCCUCCUACCUGCGCUACGACCUCAAGACCGUCAUCUCCUCCAAGACCACCAAGGAGGAGAAGAAGGACCUCAAGGACCUCACCGGCAAGCUCUUCGCCACCCUCGACGGGGUAACAAACCAUCAUCUCGCAGUUUCAAACCUGAACAUUUUCGCAAGAAGAAUUGCAGGACUAACAGGUGUGAGCUUCUCCGUUUUUUCUUUCUUGCAGCUUGAC